AACGAACGCUGGCGGCAGGCCUAACACAUGCAAGUCGAGCGGACCUUUCGGGGUCAGCGGCGGACGGGUGGGUAACGCGUGGGAAUAUGCCCUUCUCUACGGAAUAGUCCUGGGAAACUGGGGGUAAUACCGUAUACGCCCUUUGGGGGAAAGAUUUAUCGGGGAAGGAUUAGCCCGCGUUGGAUUAGGUAGUUGGUGGGGUAAUGGCCUACCAAGGCGACGAUCCAUAGCUGGUUUGAGAGGAUGAUCAGCCACACUGGGACUGAGACACGGCCCAGACUCCUACGGGAGGCAGCAGUGGGGAAUCUUAGACAAUGGGGGCAACCCUGAUCGAGCCAUGCCGCGUGAGUGAUGAAGGCCUUAGGGUUGUAAAGCUCUUUCAGCUGGGAAGAUAAUGACGGUACCAGCAGAAGAAGCCCCGGCUAACUUCGUG
This 433-nucleotide ribosomal RNA is filed under the name uncultured bacterium. Its description in RNAcentral is "partial 16S ribosomal RNA". It matches the Rfam family "Bacterial small subunit ribosomal RNA", at positions 29 to 507 of the family's 1533-position model. The record is from RNAcentral.